CCAAUAGCGUAUAUUAAAGUUGUUGCAGUUAAAAAGCUCGUAGUUGAAUUUCGGGGUCAGCAGGUCGGUCGUGCCACUGGUAUGUACUGGCCUUGCUGAUUCCUCCCUCUUGACGAACCGUAAUGCCAUUAAUUUGGUGUUGCGGGAAAUCAGGACUGUUACUUUGAAAAAAUUAGAGUGUUUAAAGCAGGCUUAAGCUUGAAUACAUUAGCAUGGAAUAAUGAAAUAGGACGUUCGAUCCUAUUUUGUUGGUUUCUAGGAUUGACGUAAUGAUUAAUAGGGAUAGUUGGGGGCAUCAGUAUUCAAUUGUCAGAGGUGAAAUUCUUGGAUUUAUUGAAGACUGACUACUGCGAAAGCAUUUGCCAAGGAUGUUUUCAUUAAUCAAGAACGAAAGUUAGGGGAUCGAAGACGAUCAGAUACCGUCGUAGUCUUAACCAUAAACUAUGCCGUCUAGGGAUCGGAUGAUGUUAAUUUUUUAAUGACUCAUUCGGCGCCUUACG
This 500-nucleotide ribosomal RNA is filed under the name uncultured Glomeromycotina. RNAcentral's name for it is "partial small subunit ribosomal RNA". It matches the Rfam family "Eukaryotic small subunit ribosomal RNA", at positions 591 to 1092 of the family's 1831-position model. The record is from RNAcentral. Lineage: Eukaryota; Fungi; Glomeromycota.